RNAcentral lists this RNase P RNA (255 nucleotides) under Thermoplasmata archaeon. RNAcentral describes it as "partial RNase P RNA component". It matches the Rfam family "Archaeal RNase P", at positions 30 to 288 of the family's 288-position model. From Rfam's summary of the family: Ribonuclease P (RNase P) is a ubiquitous endoribonuclease, found in archaea, bacteria and eukarya as well as chloroplasts and mitochondria. The record is from RNAcentral. Lineage: Archaea; Methanobacteriati; Thermoplasmatota; Thermoplasmata.
AAACCGAGGAAAUACCCCCCUCAUUCCCAGGCCGGGGGCGUAAAAGCCGGCGCGAGAGCGCCGCCAGGAGGAGCAGAAACGCCACAGCCCAUGGCAAGGAUGAUUUCCUGCGAAUGACGUUGCCAUGGGAUUUGGUGAAACGGCCUCCUGCCCGGAGCAAGUCCAAACACCGGGAUCGGCUGCCUGGGACCGCCCGGGGGUGGGACGCAAAGACGAAUGCCACCUAAAACAGAAGGGGGAUUACUGCCUGCACCU